Long non-coding RNA from Gallus gallus (chicken), 1955 nucleotides. RefSeq lists it as uncharacterized. NCBI's taxonomy places the organism in Eukaryota, Metazoa, Chordata, Aves, Galliformes, Phasianidae. The record is from RefSeq and is a predicted model, not a curated record. The transcript is spliced from 3 exons.
GAACCGACAAGAUAAGAUAGGGGCUGGUAUUUUCUAAACUAUCCUGCCUGACGGCAUAUACAGAUAAUAUGAGGAUUCAUUUGCAAGAGCGCACGGAAGAUUGAUUGGUUUUCUUAAUGCUGGAGCAAUUGCUCAUUACCAAAAUAACUCCUGGCAUUUGUGGGGAACGGUGUGAGGGCAUGGCAGGAUGUCCGCCCACAGACGGUGCCCUGGAUGCUGUCUUUUUGGGUGAAAAAGGGCAAUUUUGGUGCCGCGUUGCUACAAAUUGUGGGCUUGAUCCGCAGUUCAUGGUACCGAUGGGUGGCUCUUUCUGCAGAGCAACACGGGAGAACCACACCAUCGUCACCGCUAAGGACAGAAAUAUCACAACGUUGACUCCCAGUAUCAAAUAUUAACCCAACGCCAGUGCAAGGCGUUGUGUCAGAAGACGCUUGAUCCGCAAAGCUGGCUUCGUGCAACAUGUUGCAGCUGGCGGGGUGUAUUUAUAGCUUUUAAAAAAAAAAAAAAAAAAAAAGCACAACAAAACACUGGAAAGAGUAGAAAGCAUUUUAAACAGCAAAUUUGUCAAUGUUUUUCCUCACUGCCGAGUCGGAUGGUGGGUCGGCGCUGGUUUAGAUUAGCUGUGUCCCAUGCAGUCGGACGGUAGCAACGUGAACCUGCAGCGCACGGAUCCGCGGAUAGCAGAGAGAGGAGGAGGAAUGCGGGGAAUGUUUUCCCUUGCAGCGCUGCGGUGGUGCGGCGGUGACAGCGCUAACACUUCCCAGAGCCGAAGACCCCGAAGCCGAAAUGGCAUUGCCCACCCUGAAAGCGAGAAGGAAACGGGUCUCAGAUGUUUAUAUGUUAAAAAAUAAGGCUGCUAAUCUGCCUGCCCCUUUACCCGGCAUCGACAACUGUCACGUCUUUUCUCCUGGCUUUGGGGCCAAGUUAUGUAUUCGCUUAUUUUUUUUUUAAACCAGCGGAAUAACCGCCAUCCUGCAAUCACUGGAUUUGCUUGCUAACACCAUGUAAAGUCACCUCGGCAAUGUAAGCCAAUGUUUACCAUAGAAUUGUGAGAUUUUGUGCUUAUGGAGAUGGACUCCAGCGGGGAAGGUGGGAGAAAAGGUCUUAGGGAGCCGCAGCUCAGCGCUUGGUGUUUGUGUCCAUCAAACGCAAAGAAUGCUGAACUGGGGACCUUUCAAACACUGAUGUUUGUGAUCUCGGAGCAAAGAAGGGGAGAUUAAUCUGCAUUGGUAGAUUUUCACGCUGUUGCCCAACGCACAAUUUCAGCACACAUAAGGCAGAGAUUCGUUCCCUUCCAUUAAUCAAUACUUUUGCUGAUCCUUGAGGUGCCUUCCAACCCAAGCCAUUCUGUGAUUCUGUUAUUUUUAUUUCCUUCUUUUCAGCCUCAUGCGGCAUAGAGGCUGAUAAUAUGACAUUAAAAUGGGAUAAAGCCGGAGGUCUUUGGACCGCACCUGAGCUGUGGGGUGACACACACUAUGCACUUCUUGCUUCAUUUUUCCCAACAGCUUCUUCACAUGGUUCACAUUUCUGACCCAGUGUCAACCACAGCCCCCAGCCCACACCUGGCUAACAGCGUGAUGAAAAUCAAAUUAAAUCAGCAAAGAGCUUCAGUAACAAAAGCAGUGGGAGCAGCAGGUAAUGCUUCGAAGUUGCCUUUCUUUGCAGGUAGAGGUCCCAUGUAUCCUCAUGCAUAUUUAUCUGGGAAAGAUACUGGAGGAUUGGGCUCCUUGUGUAAUAAAAUCUGUAUUUUUUAAAUAACAUUGCUGAAAUGUGGUCAUGAAAUACUAAUGAUGUUUUGCCACGGUGUGGGAAAAAAGGCAAAUAGCAAAAUGCAGUGUUUACUGACCACACUGAAAGAGAAAUUCUCGGUGCUCAAGGACAGCAUCGGAGCAUUCUCACAGUGCAAACAGAGUAUUUUUCCUUCUGAAUAAUAAAAAAAAUAACUUCUGAAGUUA